AAUUCAAGGAUCUGAUGUAGCUACGACGAGCAUGCAGAGUUUCAUAUCAGACGAAGAUAGGGAUCAAAGCAAUCAGAACCGUCGUAGUCCAUCUAUAAACUAGCGGACUAAGGAAUGGAAUGCAAUUACCAUUUCAGUCCUUAAGAGAAUCCAAAGUCUUUGGGUCCGGGGAAGUAUGGUGCAAGACUGAAACUUAAAGAAAUUGACGGAAGGGCCCCACCAGGAGGGAGCUGCGGGGUGAGUUGGACUCAACACCGGCGAAACCUACCAGGUCCAGACAUAGUAGGAUUGGCAGAGUGAUGGCUCUUCUGAUUCUAUGGGUGGUGGUGCAUGGCCGUCCUCCCUCCCCGCCGUGCGCGUCUGGUAUUCCGAUAACGAACGAGACCUUAACCUGCUAACUAGUCUAUUACAUUUCAUGUAAUUUGACUUCUUAGAGGGACUAUGUAUAUCAAGUACAUGGAAGUUUGAGGCAAUAACAGGUCUGUGAUAACGUAUAUGUCCUGGGCUGCACGCGUGCUACACUGAUGCAUACAACAAGUGCCUAGCUAGACAUAGUAUGGCAAUCUGGAAUAUGCAUCGUGAUGGGGAUAGAUCUUUGCAAUUAUAGAUCUUGCACGAGGAAAUAAAUAGUAAGUGCAAGUCAUCAUCUUGCAUUGAUUA
This 660-nucleotide ribosomal RNA is filed under the name uncultured rumen protozoa. RNAcentral's name for it is "bacterial SSU rRNA". It matches the Rfam family "Eukaryotic small subunit ribosomal RNA", at positions 764 to 1647 of the family's 1831-position model. The record is from RNAcentral.